This 468-nucleotide ribosomal RNA is filed under the name uncultured bacterium. Its description in RNAcentral is "partial 16S ribosomal RNA". It matches the Rfam family "Bacterial small subunit ribosomal RNA", at positions 28 to 507 of the family's 1533-position model. The record is from RNAcentral.
GACGAACGCUGGCGGCGUGCUUAACACAUGCAAGUCGAACGGCAAGGCACUGAGUUCGUGGGGUGAUCGAGUGGCGAACGGGUGAGUAACACGUGAGUAACCUGACCUAGAUUUUGGGAUAAGUUAAGGAAAGUGGGGCUAAUACAGGAUAGGAGCCCACGCACGAUGGAGGGGGUGGGAAAGUUUCGGCGGGUGGGGAUGGACUAGCGGCUUAUCAGCUUGUUGGUGGGGUAGGGGCAGCCCAAGGAUUUGACGGGUAGGCGGCCUGAGAGGGUGGCCGGCCACAAUGCGCCUGAGAGACGGCCCAGUCUCCUACGGUGGACAGCGGUGGAGAAUAUUGUACAACGAUCGGAAGUCUGUUGCAGCGACGCCGCGUUCGUGAUGACGGCCUUCGGGUAGUGAACCGCUUUCGCCUGUGACGAAGCGGUAGUGACGGUAAUGGGUAAAGAAGCACCGGCUAACUACGUG